Molecule: small nucleolar RNA, 124 nt
Organism: Delphinapterus leucas (beluga whale)
Lineage: Eukaryota; Metazoa; Chordata; Mammalia; Artiodactyla; Monodontidae
Gene: SNORA70
Rfam family: Small nucleolar RNA SNORA70
About the family: snoRNA U70 seems to be exclusive to mammals and is a member of the H/ACA class of snoRNA which contain H (ANANNA) and ACA box motifs.
Source: Ensembl
CUGCACAGCCAAUUAAGGCAAUUGUACUUUUUUCCCCAUAGAGGCCCGGGUGCAAAGGCUACAAAUAGUAGUGUAUGUAGCCUGUUGCUUAUACAGGUUGCCCUAAGGGACAAUGGAAAUAGCA